Molecule: ribosomal RNA, 575 nt
Filed under: uncultured Streptococcus sp.
Lineage: Bacteria; Bacillati; Bacillota; Bacilli; Lactobacillales; Streptococcaceae
Description: bacterial SSU rRNA
Rfam family: Bacterial small subunit ribosomal RNA
Source: RNAcentral
AACAGGAUUAGAUACCCUGGUAGUUCCACCCCCGUAAACGAUGAGUGCUAGGUGUGGGGUUCCUUUUCCGGGAUCAGUGCCGCAGCUAAACGCAUUAAGCACUCCGCCUGGGGAGUACGACCGCAAGGUUGAAACUCAAAGGAAUUGACGGGGGCCCGCACAAGCGGUGGAGCAUGAGGUUUAAUUCGAAGCAACGCGAAGAACCUUACCAGGUCUUGACAUCCCUCUGACCGCUCUAGAGAUAGAGUUUUCCUUCGGGACAGAGGUGACAGGUGGUGCAUGGUUGUCGUCAGCUCGUGUCGUGAGAUGUUGGGUUAAGUCCCGCAACGAGCGCAACCCCUAUUGUUAGUUGCCAUCAUUCAGUUGGGCACUCUAGCGAGACUGCCGGUAAUAAACCGGAGGAAGGUGGGGAUGACGUCAAAUCAUCAUGCCCCUUAUGACCUGGGCUACACACGUGCUACAAUGGCUGGUACAACGAGUCGCAAGUCGGUGACGGCAAGCUAAUCUCUUAAAGCCAGUCUCAGUUCGGAUUGUAGGCUGCAACUCGCCUACAUGAAGUCGGAAUCGCUAGAAGU